GCAUAUGGAAGUUCCCAGGCUAGGGGUCAAAUCAGAGCUAUAGCUGCUGGCCUACCCCACAGCCACAGCAACUCGAGAUCCGAGCCGCGCCUGUGACCUACACCACAGCUCACUGCAAGACCAGAUCCUCAACCCACUGAGUGAGGCCAGGGUUCGAACCCACGUUCUCAUGGAUACUAGUCGGGUUCAUUAACCACCGAGCCACAAUAGGAACUCCCCAUACAACUAUUUUAACUUCACAAAGAUCUCUCCUCUCUUGUUUUUGUAAAUUAUUUAAGCAUAUAUACACACACACACACACACACAUAUAUGACAGCUACAAAUACAAGUACAGCUAUGAGUAGUCCUUAAAACUGUCAAAGUCAUCAAAAACAAGGAAAGUCUUAGACUGUGUUAUAACCAAGAAGAGCCUAAGGAGACAUGAUAACUAAAAUGGAAUCCAAAACCAGGAAAGGGAUAUUAGGUGAAAAUAAGGAAACUCAAAUAAGUAUAAUUUGGGCAAUAAUAUAUUAAUAUCAGUUCAUUUGUUAUAACAACGCUAUUAUACUAAUAUGUUAAAUGUUACUAGUGGGGAAACAGGGUGGGCAGUUCAUGGGAACUCUCUGCACCAUCUCCUCAAUUUUUCCCUAAAUCUAAAUCUGUUCUAAAAAAUAAAGUCUAUUAUGUGCACACACACACACUGCAGCUUGCUAUCUAAAAUUUCCUGGCUGUUUUCUCCACCUAUCUACUUUUAUCUGAACCUAUCGUUCCUUUGUCUCUGCAGUGUGAGGCCCUGAGCUGGAAGAGAGCUCUGGUGAGUCAGUUUCAACAGCUCACAAAGGCUAAACUGCUCUAGUCACUUCAAGGCUUAACAUGGGGCCCUUGUUUCACCAGCAACUGAGGUGCACAAACAUCUGACAAGAUCAGCUGUUGUUAUCAAGUUGACCUGUUUAAUCUAAGCUGCAUCUACUUUGAGGUUCUUCAAUUCUCAUAUUCAUCAAACCCAGCCCCACUGCUUCCCUGUUUCCUCUUACAUAGAUGUCAGAAGGUACAGGUUUUGUAGCUCAUAUUUUAGAAUUUCACUGGUUUAUCUUGUUUCUGGCCUUUCAUAUGUAUUAUUCAUGGAUCCAUGAAUUUCUGGGUUUAUGAUCAAGUUGCUCAAUUUUUUUCCCUUAUAGUUUAGGAUACUGAGCUUUCAUAUAUAUAUGAAUUCUAUAUAUAUACACACACACUAUAUAUAUAUAUAUAUUCUAUUUCUUGUAUUAUAUAUUUAUACAGCCUUGUUGAGAUAUAACUCAUAUAGGAUACAAUUCAAUUCACCAUGUGCCUUUUGUAGGGAAUUUAGAAAGACCCCCCCAAAUCAUGCAGCCACCACUUUCCCAACAUUCUCAAACCAAAAUUCAAGGCAGUCAUCAACAUCAUAGACUACCGAGCUAAUGAAGAUUUUAUUAUAGUAGAUCCAGUGGCUCAUUUAACUAUAGGCAGGCUAGAAUGUGUUGUGGGUGGUAGAGAUAUGGUGCUGUAUUUUGCUAUGUGUUUAGAAGUGGAAACUCUAGGGCUUCCUGCCAGAAGUGGUUUACAACCAGUUCACAAUUAUUGACAGUGCUAUCUAUGAUGGCAGUUGAAAUCCAUCCAUCAUCCCAAAAAUCUCAUUAAUUUUACUUUGUUGUGUGAAUUUCUCCUAGUUGUUGGGUCUUUGAGGAGUAAAAAGAAAAAUCCAAAACAUACACAAAGUGUAAUUUUGUCAUCUUCUGCCAGGGAGUGCAUACCCGUGUGGGAUUUUCCUCCUCUCACCCAAGAAACUCAGCUGUGCCCUGGAGGAGGGAGCUCACAAUGAUGUAAAACCCAGCACACACAGACUAUAUUUUUGGCCCAGGUGUCACAAGCCUGAUUCUACUACUGUGAUAGACACUUUUCCUAGGGCCUGCUCAUACAACAGUCUAUAAACUGAUAACUAAACAAAGUUAAACUUGUUAGAGGGAAUUUUUUUUUAAAGGUUAGAGAGAUUUACUGAAUACACUGCUAAGGGAAGCAGUAAGCAGGGGAGCUCAUCUGCCCAGGGUGGUGGUUUGGACUCUUUUUAUAAAGGAACUAGCUUCAGACCUUUCCCUCUCAGUUCCCGUCAUGCAAACAGAUUGAAACAUGGCAGUUUUGAUUGGCUGAUAUUCGAGGCUGCUCAUUAGUCAGCUGGAAGUUAGCAAAAAAUGGCUUGGGUAUAAAAUGAUUUCCACAUUACCCCCCUGAUAGAUGGACAACGCCUAAUCUUUGGUAUUUGGGUAAAGGUCUCAUCUUCUAUUGCUGCAGGGACAACGUGUUGGCCCUACCUAGGAAUGUCCGUCCAUCAAGGGUUCUGUGUGCAGGUAAAUUGGAAUAAGAACCGUUUUGGUAAUUUAGGAGUGGUUUG
Molecule: long non-coding RNA, 2383 nt
Filed under: Sus scrofa (pig)
Lineage: Eukaryota; Metazoa; Chordata; Mammalia; Artiodactyla; Suidae
Description: lncRNA (ENSSSCG00040074601.1)
Source: RNAcentral